RNAcentral lists this transfer RNA (72 nucleotides) under Pascua guehoae. RNAcentral describes it as "tRNA-His". It matches the Rfam family "tRNA". Rfam says of the family: Transfer RNA (tRNA) molecules are approximately 80 nucleotides in length. Their secondary structure includes four short double-helical elements and three loops (D, anti-codon, and T loops). Further hydrogen bonds mediate the characteristic L-shaped molecular structure. tRNAs have two regions of fundamental functional importance: the anti-codon, which is responsible for specific mRNA codon recognition, and the 3' end, to which the tRNAs corresponding amino acid is attached (by aminoacyl-tRNA synthetases). tRNAs cope with the degeneracy of the genetic code in two manners: having more than one tRNA (with a specific anti-codon) for a particular amino acid; and 'wobble' base-pairing, i.e. permitting non-standard base-pairing at the 3rd anti-codon position. Lineage: Eukaryota; Fungi; Basidiomycota; Tremellomycetes; Trichosporonales; Trichosporonaceae. The record is from RNAcentral.
GGUAGGACUAAUUUAGUGGUAGAAUACUCCAUUGUGGUUGGAGGUAGCACAGUUCGAUUCUGUGGUUUUACC